This 476-nucleotide ribosomal RNA is filed under the name uncultured soil bacterium. Its description in RNAcentral is "bacterial SSU rRNA". It matches the Rfam family "Bacterial small subunit ribosomal RNA", at positions 26 to 497 of the family's 1533-position model. The record is from RNAcentral.
AGAGUGAACGCUGGCGGUAGGCCUAACACAUGCAAGUCGAACGGCAGCACGGUAAGAGCUUGCUCUUAUGGGUGGCGAGUGGCGGACGGGUGAGGAAUACAUCGGAAUCUACCUUUUGGUGGGGGAUAACGUAGGGAAACUUACGCUAAUACCGCAUACGCCCUUCGGGGGAAAGCCGGGGACCAGCAAUGGCCUGGCGCUGAUAGAUGAGCCGAUGUCGGAUUAGCUAGUUGGUGAGGUAAUGGCUCACCAAGGCGACGAUCCGUAGCUGGUCUGAGAGGAUGAUCAGCCACACUGGAACUGAGACACGGUCCAGACUUCCACGGGAGGCAGCAGUGGGGAAUAUUGGGACAAUGGGCGCAAGCCUGAUCCAGCCAUACCGCGUGGUGAAGAAGGCCUUGGUGUAAGCCCUUUGUGGAAGAAAGCAUUCGGUUAAUACCGGUGUUACUGACGGUACCCAAAGAAUAAGACACCGG